This 440-nucleotide ribosomal RNA is filed under the name uncultured bacterium. RNAcentral's name for it is "partial 16S ribosomal RNA". It matches the Rfam family "Bacterial small subunit ribosomal RNA", at positions 339 to 795 of the family's 1533-position model. The record is from RNAcentral.
CUACGGGGCGCUGCAGCAGGGAAUUUUGCGCAAUGGGCGAAAGCCUGACGCAGCAACGCCGCGUGGGGGAUGAAGGCCUUCGGGUUGUAAACCCCUUUCAGGAGGGAAGAAAUUGACGGUACCUCCAGAAGAAGCACCGGCCAACUACGUGCCAGCAGCCGCGGUAAUACGUAGGGUGCGAGCGUUAUCCGGAAUCAUUGGGCGUAAAGAGCUCGUAAGCGGUUCAGCAAGUCGGCUGUGAAAGUCCGAGGCUCAACCUCGGAAUUGCAGUCGAUACUGCUGUGACUCGAGUCCGGUAGAGGAGAACGGAAUUCCCGGUGUAGCGGUGAAAUGCGCAGAUAUCGGGAGGAACACCAGUAGCGAAGGCGGUUCUCUGGGCCGGCACUGACGCUGAGGAGCGAAAGCGUGGGGAGCGAACAGGAUUAGAUACCCUCGUAGUC